UCACUUACCUGGCAGGAGAGAUACCAUGAUCGAGAAGGUGGUUUUUCCAGGGUGAGGAAAUAUGCACUCCAAAUGUACUGACCCCUGAGAUUUCCCCAAAUGCAGGAAGCUCAACUGCAUAAUUUCUGGUAGUGGGAGACUGUGUUUGUGCUCUCCCCUG
Molecule: small nuclear RNA, 160 nt
Filed under: Microcebus murinus (gray mouse lemur)
Lineage: Eukaryota; Metazoa; Chordata; Mammalia; Primates; Cheirogaleidae
Description: U1 spliceosomal RNA (ENSMICG00000032105.2)
Rfam family: U1 spliceosomal RNA
About the family: U1 is a small nuclear RNA (snRNA) component of the spliceosome (involved in pre-mRNA splicing). Its 5' end forms complementary base pairs with the 5' splice junction, thus defining the 5' donor site of an intron. There are significant differences in sequence and secondary structure between metazoan and yeast U1 snRNAs, the latter being much longer (568 nucleotides as compared to 164 nucleotides in human).
Source: Rfam by way of RNAcentral